UCCCUCUUCCCCUUCCUAGAUCGACGCCCCUUCCUCUCCUGAUCAGGAUCAACACAUGACGCCCUUGCUUCUCCGUCCAACCACACCGCAUCUCCUCCAACUCCUCCCUUUGGGUGAGAAGAGGAGCCCUUCUUCGCUUUACCGAGGUUACCAUGGGACUGCGACCUUGAUUCCGGAUAAAAGAUUUAUUUUUUUUAAUCUUCUAUUACUGUUUCAGAUCCCCAUUUUUAACUAGGGUUGGAGUUGGGGAUCAGAUCUGUGGGUUUUAGGAGAAUGCCAUUGACAUUGCUUCAGGUGAGGCAUUUUUAGGGUUGCACAGAUGAGAAGAGUCUAAUAGAGUUGGAUAGAUGGGCGAUGAACUCAACGUUCCUCUUGGUUGAGAGUUUCGGAUGUCUGCUACUGGACUCGGAAACCAAGCUGCAAAGUUUUUUCCUACUUAGCCUGUUUCUUUUGGUUUUCUGUAGAUUUGUCGAUUUCGUUAGCAAUUUAAGAAGAUAGGCUUAACAUCGACCAAGACACUCUAAAAUCAAGCUGGUGGCUGAAGGAUUCUUAGUUUCUACUUGAUUCUGUUUGAGAGUUUUUGUUUUGAGCUUUCUUUGCUUAGGACGUACAAGAUGGCAUGCAUGAAACUGGGAUCAAAACCCGAUGCCUUCCACCAACAAGGGCAAGCUUGUUUCCUUUGUUAUCAAAAAGUAGCCUUUUGGAAAGGUUAAUUAAGAACUCUGAUGAAGAGGAUAUUGUGACAAGACUGGCUGAUGUUCCUGGUGGUGCACAAGCAUUUGAACUUGUGGCUAAGUUCUGAACUUGUGGCUAAGUUCUUCAUAACAUUGCUGUUGCAGAAUACUUUCGAGAUGGUUGCACUGAUCCUAGGAAUCUCCUUGAUGCAUUAAACAAGGUUAAAGUAAAUUUACUGAAUCACAGGAGCAGAGUGAAGAGCUUGCGCAUACUUUUGUGAACCAGACUGACUCUGAGAAUAGCUGCCUAGGCUAUAUGGUUUCAGGGUCUAAAGCUAAUAGUGCUUUAAUUCAUCAAAGUGCUGCUAGAAAUAGCAGUAGAGUUGUCCAUGCCCAAGAGUUUGAUGUUUCAGUAACAAUGCUGAAUAUUGUAAUCAUUCUCUACCAUAUCCAUGAGUAUGCACAGUCAUUAUCUGUUCCCAAAAAGUUGUUCCAGAAUAUCAAGCCAAUUGAAGAGUUUACAAACCUCAAGUACUCCAGAGUUGAAAUUGAUGAAGUGCGGUUCAAGUGGGCUGAAUGCAUGCUAGAUUACAUUUGAGUAGGAAAGGUAUUUGAUUUUUGAAAACUUUGGAUGAAGCAUGCAUUUGCAUGGAAUGUAAAUUAUGGAUAUUGUUCCAUGCCAAUUUCUUUCUGAUGGUGAUAUUCUAGGACUUCUGUAAUAUGUAUAAUUCUUCUAUUUUUGUUCUUUGCUGUUGUUAAGUAGACCAAAUGAUACUUUGUUUGAUA
This is an RNA transcript of Zingiber officinale, 1460 nucleotides long. It is a transcript of the gene named BTB/POZ domain-containing protein At1g30440-like, with no coding region annotated. The transcript has 6 exons. NCBI's taxonomy places the organism in Eukaryota, Viridiplantae, Streptophyta, Magnoliopsida, Zingiberales, Zingiberaceae. The record is from RefSeq and is a predicted model, not a curated record.